RNAcentral lists this unclassified non-coding RNA (559 nucleotides) under Hevea brasiliensis (rubber tree). Lineage: Eukaryota; Viridiplantae; Streptophyta; Magnoliopsida; Malpighiales; Euphorbiaceae. The record is from RNAcentral.
CUAAAUUUAGGUUUUAAUUAAAAAAAGCAAUAAUAAAAAAGUAUAUUUAAAUUUGACUAUAAAGAAAGAAAAGAAAAGAGAUAAUUACAAUAAGAAAUUAAUUUGAUGCUAACCAAUUGUGAUACAAAAAUUACAAAACUGAUAAUUAUGAUAAGAAAGCAAUUUCAAGCUAACUGAACACAAUCUACUCAUUCAAAGAAUUCCUUGACACAAAGGAAUGGAUCUUUGUAGAUUUUCAUUUCGUUAAUUAAAACACUAUCCAUAACAUAUGAACAAAAAAAAAAAAGUAUAAUAAAUAUCAUAGUAAAACCAAACUGUUAGAUUGGACCACUAGGAUCCUUUGAAUUUUUAUUGUUGCAUAGCCACAUUCUGCACCCUUUUCUUGUUAAGUUUCGUCUCAACUGUGCCAUCCAACAUCAUAUGUGGAAUGUUCUGCUUAUGGCACCAUAAUGCUUGUAACCUAAGUCCAAAUAUUUUUGCAUAGUUUUUUUUUUUUGUCAUUUCAGUUAUCUUGUUUUAGUAAUUAGUUGACUUGUUCCAAAUUUGGUUUUUUGAAACA